AGCCCUACAUCUUCUUAGUCAGUUGGGGGCCCACGUGUCACUGAAAAAGUAAUUUUAUUCUUCAGUUAUUUGAUUUAAAGUAUGUAUGAAUAUAUUUAGCUUUUACACCAUGUUUUUGACGAGUUUUGGUAUUUUUGAAGAAAAAUGAUGAAAAUGCCCCUAUGAGCCAGAAAGUAAUAUUUUAUUGUUUUGAUUUGGAAAUGACUUAUGAUUUUUUUUGAAAUGUGAAAUUUAAUAACUGUCACUCACUGGGGAGAUGUAGAAGCUGAUGCUAAGCCUUGCGGGGUUUCGAUCGGCAUUCGGGGUAAUGAGUGCCUAUCGGGACGUCGCGACGGUUGUCACGGGCUCGAUGGGAGUUCCGGGUCGUGACAUA
RNAcentral lists this long non-coding RNA (373 nucleotides) under Theobroma cacao (cacao). RNAcentral's name for it is "long non-coding RNA (TCAC_LNC005663)". The record is from RNAcentral. Lineage: Eukaryota; Viridiplantae; Streptophyta; Magnoliopsida; Malvales; Malvaceae.